UGGGGAAUUUUGGACAAUGGGCGAAAGCCUGAUCCAGCAAUGCCGCGUGUGUGAAGAAGGCCUUCGGGUUGUAAAGCACUUUUGUCCGGAAAGAAAUCCUUGGCUCUAAUACAGUCGGGGGAUGACGGUACCGGAAGAAUAAGCACCGGCUAACUACGUGCCAGCAGCCGCGGUAAUACGUAGGGUGCAAGCGUUAAUCGGAAUUACUGGGCGUAAAGCGUGCGCAGGCGGUUUGCUAAGACCGAUGUGAAAUCCCCGGGCUCAACCUGGGAACUGCAUUGGUGACUGGCAGGCUAGAGUAUGGCAGAGGGGGGUAGAAUUCCACGUGUAGCAGUGAAAUGCGUAGAGAUGUGGAGGAAUACCGAUGGCGAAGGCAGCCCCCUGGGCAAUACUGACGCUCAUGCACGAAAGCGUGGGGAGCAAACAGGAUUAGAUACCCUGGUAGUCCACGCCCUAAACGAUGUCAACUGUUGUUGGGGAUUCAUUUCCUAGUAACGUAGCUAACGCGUGAAGUUGACCGCCUGGGGAGUACGGUCGCAAGAUU
RNAcentral lists this ribosomal RNA (544 nucleotides) under uncultured bacterium. Its description in RNAcentral is "partial 16S ribosomal RNA". It matches the Rfam family "Bacterial small subunit ribosomal RNA", at positions 355 to 895 of the family's 1533-position model. The record is from RNAcentral.